UACGUAGGUGGCAAGCGUUGUCCGGAAUUAUUGGGCGUAAAGCGCGCGCAGGCGGUCUUUUAAGUCUGAUGUGAAAGCCCACGGCUCAACCGUGGAGGGUCAUUGGAAACUGGGGGACUUGAGUGCAGAAGAGGAGAGUGGAAUUCCACGUGUAGCGGUGAAAUGCGUAGAGAUGUGGAGGAACACCAGUGGCGAAGGCGACUCUCUGGUCUGUAACUGACGCUGAGGCGCGAAAGCCAGGGGAGCAAACGGG
Molecule: ribosomal RNA, 253 nt
Filed under: uncultured bacterium
Lineage: Bacteria
Description: partial 16S ribosomal RNA
Rfam family: Bacterial small subunit ribosomal RNA
Source: RNAcentral